RNAcentral lists this long non-coding RNA (1281 nucleotides) under Pan troglodytes (chimpanzee). Its description in RNAcentral is "long non-coding RNA NONPTRT008597". The record is from RNAcentral. Lineage: Eukaryota; Metazoa; Chordata; Mammalia; Primates; Hominidae.
GGCGAAGUUGCUAGAAGAUACGUAAGAGGGCCGCAGUGGAGAUGGAACAACCAAAGGACGGGGCUGGGCCUGAAGGGAACAACCUGUCCCUGCCGUCAUCUGGGACCGAGCCAUGGCCCCCUGCGCCUCUCCCAGCCCCUCCACCCUUGCUCCUGAGCUCCACAGACCCCACCCACCUGGGGCUCCCGGAGAGCGUGGCCUCUGUCACCGUGCCCAUACGCCUGGACACCCUCUCCUGCCUCCUGCACAGCGCCCUGCUGGGGGCCUACACCUUCCAACAGGCCUUGCCCUCUUGCCCCUGCUGCCCCCAGGCAGGCCACUCCCAGCCGGGGGCAGUUAGGAGGCCUCCCAGGGGACGCGGAGGCUGGGAAGUCAGGCACAGGCCAGGCUGGGGCCGAGGCCCGCAUCGACGGGGCCUCGGGAGAGCUGAGCAGCCAGAGAGGGGCCGGGCGGGGGGCCCUGGGGCUGGCCCCAGGACCCCACCAAUGACACUGCCAUCACCACCAACACUGCCUGCCCAGGAUGGGAAGAAGGAAGCUCGAGGUCCAGAGCCGCCCCUGGAAACACCACUGGCUGCUGAGGACUGGGAGACAGAGUACUAGGACCUUGGAGGGUCCGGCACCUGAGAUUGCAGUCACCCAGGAGGGUUUUCCUGGGGCCCAGAGUGAUCUCAGCCCUGUCAGAAGAACCCCAAGAAACAUCUUCCAUCCUCCCCUCUCCCCAAAACCACGAUCCCAGGAGUAGCUCCUGUGAGGCACUUGGUGAACCUGACCUAAGUCACCUGAAUCCCAAGUGAGAAGAAAACCCUAAACCUCGUACCCAGGCCUGUCUCCUUGAUGGCCUCAACCCCAUUCCCAAUGCCAUCCCCAACCACAACCACAAUCCUUACCUCAUUCUCAACCCCCAGGGCUCCUCCAACCCCAUUCCCUACCCUCUCCCUAAUCCCAAAGCCACUCCUACCUGCCUCUCUCUUCCCCACUCUCAAUACCCUAUUCCCAAACCCAUUCAUUCCCAUCCCUGUCACCAGUCCCAGCUCCACUUCUGUGCCUCAACCCUAACCCACCCUCUUUACCAACCCCUUUCUCCUCAUUGCCUGUGUACCUCAGCCCAUCUUUAAUGUCCUCUGAAUCUACAGCCCCAAAGAGCUCCAUCCUCAACCUCAGCCACAGCCCUGUGUCCAUCCCCACAAAGAACCGCAUUGAUCCCACAUAUCCAGACACCUGUGACUCCCCACCCCACUGCCUGCUCUUCAGGUAGAAAGCCCUGGUUGAACAAUAAACG